AGAGUUUGAUCCUGGCUCAGAACAAACGCUGGCGGCGUGUCUUAAGCAUGCAAGUUGAGCGGCAAGGGGGAGCGAUCCCCCCUAGAGCGGCGGACUGGUGAGUAACACGUGGAUGAUCUACCCGAGGCAUGGGGAUAGUCACUAGAAAUAGUGGGUAAUACCGAAUACGGUGCGCAUCGUGAGGGUGCGCAAGAAAGGUGCUACGGCACCGGCCUAGGAUGAGUCUGCGUCCCAUUAGCUGGUUGGUGAGGUAAGAGCCCACCAAGGCGAUGAUGGGUAGCCGGCCUGAGAGGGUGUACGGCCACACUGGGACUGAGAUACGGCCCAGACUCCUACGGGAGGCAGCAGCUAAGAAUAUUCCGCAAUGGACGAAAGUCUGACGGAGCGACGCCGCGUGGAUGAAGAAGGCCGAAAGGUUGUAAAGUUCUUUUGUUGGGGAAGAAUAACCAUGGGAGGGAAUGCCCGUGGGAUGACAUGAACCGACGAAUAAGCCCCGGCUAACUACGUGCCAGCAGCCGCGGUAACACGUAGGGGGCGAGCGUUGUUCGGAAUUACUGGGCGUAAAGGGCAUGUAGGCGGUCUUGUAAGCUUGGCGUGAAAGACCACGGCUCAACCGUGGGAUUGCGUUGAGAACUGCGAGGCUUGAGUGACGGAGAGGGAGCUAGAAUUCCUGGUGUAGGGGUGGAAUCUGUAGAGAUCAGGAAGAAUACCAAUGGCGAAGGCAAGCUCCUGGCCGAUGACUGACGCUGAGGUGCGAAAGUGUGGGGAUCAAACAGGAUUAGAUACCCUGGUAGUCCACACUGUAA
RNAcentral lists this ribosomal RNA (806 nucleotides) under uncultured bacterium. Its description in RNAcentral is "bacterial SSU rRNA". It matches the Rfam family "Bacterial small subunit ribosomal RNA", at positions 8 to 805 of the family's 1533-position model. The record is from RNAcentral.